GUCUACAGCCAUGCCACCCUGAACAUGCCCAAUCCUGUCUGAUCUCGGCUAAGCAGAGUCGGGCCUGGUUAGUACUUGAGUAGGAGACCACCUAGGAAGACCAGGUGCUGUAGGUG
RNAcentral lists this ribosomal RNA (116 nucleotides) under Pteropus alecto (black flying fox). The record is from RNAcentral. Lineage: Eukaryota; Metazoa; Chordata; Mammalia; Chiroptera; Pteropodidae.